Sphaeramia orbicularis (orbiculate cardinalfish) is the source of this 183-nucleotide long non-coding RNA. RefSeq lists it as uncharacterized. NCBI's taxonomy places the organism in Eukaryota, Metazoa, Chordata, Actinopteri, Kurtiformes, Apogonidae. The transcript is spliced from 4 exons. The record is from RefSeq and is a predicted model, not a curated record.
CACUCUUAUCCCUACACGAUGCUCUUCCAACCUUUGGCCAGUGAAGAGGAUUCAGAGAAAAUAAUACAACCAACCAUCAAUCUGAAAAAGGAGGGGCAACAGAGGGCACUGAUUAUGCGGUGGCUUCAAUGGUGCACUAUUUUGCCAGGUGGCCUGCCUUUCCGCAGUUGUAGCAGUUAGUUU